UACGAAGGGUGCAAGCGUUGUUCGGAAUUACUGGGCGUAAAGGGUUCGUAGGCUGGAAUUUAAGUCAAGUGUGAAAUCCCCGAGCUUAACUUGGGACGUGCAUUUGAAACUGGAUUUCUUGAGUAUCGGAGAGGGUGGUGGAAUUGUUGGUGUAGGAGUGACAUCCGUAGAGAUCAGCAGGAACAUCAGAUGCGAAAGCGACCGCCUGGCCGAUUACUGACGCUGAGGAACGAAAGCGUGGGGAGCAAACAGG
RNAcentral lists this ribosomal RNA (253 nucleotides) under uncultured bacterium. RNAcentral's name for it is "partial 16S ribosomal RNA". It matches the Rfam family "Bacterial small subunit ribosomal RNA", at positions 524 to 776 of the family's 1533-position model. The record is from RNAcentral.